This 253-nucleotide ribosomal RNA is filed under the name uncultured bacterium. RNAcentral's name for it is "partial 16S ribosomal RNA". It matches the Rfam family "Bacterial small subunit ribosomal RNA", at positions 524 to 776 of the family's 1533-position model. The record is from RNAcentral.
UACGGAGGGUGCAAGCGUUGUCCGGAUUUAUUGGGUUUAAAGGGUGCGUAGGUGGCUUUUUAAGUCUGACCUGAAAGUGGGCCGCUUAACGGCACAGGGUGGUUGGAUACUGAAGAGCUUGAAGAGGGUGGAGGCCGCCGGAACGGAUCGUGUAGCGGUGAAAUGCAUAGAGAUGAUCCAGAACCCCGAUUGCGAAGGCAGGCGGCUACGCCCCACUUGACACUGAGGCACGAGAGCAUGGGGAGCAAACAGG